This 292-nucleotide ribosomal RNA is filed under the name uncultured bacterium. RNAcentral's name for it is "partial 16S ribosomal RNA". It matches the Rfam family "Bacterial small subunit ribosomal RNA", at positions 505 to 796 of the family's 1533-position model. The record is from RNAcentral.
GUGCCCGCCGCCGCGGUAACACGUAGAGUGCAAGCGUUGUCCGGAAUCAUUGGGCGUAAAGGGUACGCAGGCGGAUAGGCAAGUCAAAUGUGAAAGGUGUCGGCUCAACCGACAGACUGCGUUUGAAACUGUCUAUCUUGAGCACAGUAGAGGAGAGCGGAAUUCCUAGUGUAGCGGUGAAAUGCGUAGAUAUUAGGAAGAACACCAGUGGCGAAGGCGGCUCUCUGGACUGUGACUGACGCUGAGGUACGAAAGCCGGGGGAGCGAACGGGAUUAGAUACCCCAGUAGUCC